GAUGAACGCUGGCGGCGUGCCUAAUACAUGCAAGUCGAGCGAACAGAUAAGGAGCUUGCUCCUUUGACGUUAGCGGCGGACGGGUGAGUAACACGUGGGUAACCUACCUAUAAGACUGGGAUAACUUCGGGAAACCGGAGCUAAUACCGGAUAACAUUUGGAACCGCAUGGUUCUAAAGUGAAAGAUGGUUUUGCUAUCACUUAUAGAUGGACCCGCGCCGUAUUAGCUAGUUGGUAAGGUAACGGCUUACCAAGGCGACGAUACGUAGCCGACCUGAGAGGGGGAGCGGCGCCUGUGGAACUGAAACACGGUCCAGACUCCGACGGGAGGCAGCAGUAGGGAAGCUUGCGCAAAAGGCGAAAGCCUGACGGAGCAACGCCGCGUGAGUGAUGAAGGGUUUCGGCUCGGAAAACUCUGUUAUUAGGGAAGAACAAAUGUGUAAGUAACUGUGCACGUCUUGACGGUACCUAAUCAGAAAGCCACGGCUAACUACGUG
This 497-nucleotide ribosomal RNA is filed under the name uncultured bacterium. RNAcentral describes it as "partial 16S ribosomal RNA". It matches the Rfam family "Bacterial small subunit ribosomal RNA", at positions 28 to 507 of the family's 1533-position model. The record is from RNAcentral.